Molecule: ribosomal RNA, 409 nt
Filed under: Fusobacteriota bacterium
Lineage: Bacteria; Fusobacteriati; Fusobacteriota
Description: Fusobacteria bacterium partial 16S ribosomal RNA
Rfam family: Bacterial small subunit ribosomal RNA
Source: RNAcentral
UGGGGAAUAUUGCACAAUGGAGGGAACUCUGAUGCAGCAACGCCGCGUGCGGGAUGACGGCCUUCGGGUUGUAAACCGCUUUCAGCCAUGACGAAGCUUUUGUGACGGUAGUGGUAGAAGAAGCACCGGCUAACUACGUGCCAGCAGCCGCGGUGAUACGUAGGGUGCGAGCGUUGUCCGGAAUUAUUGGGCGUAAAGAGCUUGUAGGCGGUUUGUCGCGUCAAUAGUGUAAACACGCAGCUUAACAGUGUGCCUGCUGUCGAUACGGGCUGACUAGAGGAGGGUAGGGGAGAAUGGAAUUCCCGGUGGAGCGGUGGAAUGCGCAGAUAUCGGGAGGAACACCAGUGGCGAAGGCGGUUCUCUGGACCUUUCCUGACGCUGAGAAGCGAAAGCGUGGGUAGCAAACAGG